This is a long non-coding RNA of Arachis stenosperma, 1553 nucleotides long. RefSeq lists it as uncharacterized. Lineage: Eukaryota; Viridiplantae; Streptophyta; Magnoliopsida; Fabales; Fabaceae. The record is from RefSeq and is a predicted model, not a curated record. The transcript is spliced from 4 exons.
CGCGUCCCUUGUUUCACUCAUUUCUCCAAAAUUUAACCCUAAACUUUCAUAGAAUCAGAGUUUAGACUUCAGAGUGAGGCUUCUUCUUCUCCUCCAAGGUCUGAGAAUAGAAACCAGAGACGGAAUCACAGUCACGUAGAGAGGCAGAGUGAGACUUCUUCUUCUCCUCGUUUGCUCGGUGUUGAAUACUGAGACUAAUGAGCUGGUUGCUGUUAAGAAGAUAGCGAACGCGUUCGAUAAUCACAUGGAUGCAAAGCGCACACUCCGUGAGAUUAAACUCCUGAGGCAUCUGGAUCAUGAAAACGUGUGAGGAUUAUGCAAUUUGCUUUUUGCUUUCAACCAGAAUGGCAUCACACAAUUACAUGGCAAGUGCCAAAUCUGUAUCUCUUUAUUGUAUAAGUUCAGGAGUUUCUCAAUCUGCCAUUGCUGCACUCUUUUGCAAAUUCAAUUUCGGCCAGAAGCAAUUCUCUACUUGCUGUUUCGGUUUCACUCAACCUUGUUUGAUUGACAAGUUCAGGAAAAAGGUGCAAUUCUUUUGGAGAAUUCCGGUAGUUUGUACAAGGUGAAAUCCGAGAUGAAGUAUGCCAUGAAAAGUUACUACAUGGAAUACUAUUUUGAGACCAACCCUGAUGGUAUUUGACAUUUUCCCAUUUCUUUUGGCUGUGAGUGGUUGGUAAAUUUAGGUUGCGGCUCAGGAGAUAGUUGUUGUUUAAUGUAUUUUGGUUUCUUGUUGUUACAGUAAAAGAUGGGGACUGGAAUUUUGAUUUGCAUGAUCUACAAUUAUGUUUCGGUGUAAAAGAAUUCUUGGUAUGGUUUAAUCCUUAUGUUUUAUUUUUCCCCCAAAGGAUAAGGAAUCACCUAUUUCUAGGUUAUCACUAGGUUAUUGCUCCUCAAAGUGCAAGUGGUGUGCUUCUUGAUGCACCUGAAGCUAGCAAGCUCUUGAGUGCUGUUGCAAUUGCUUUGUCAAAUUGUUCAAGGUAACUCUUCUUACUUGUUGUGUAGUGUUUAGUAAGCAAUGAAAAUCACAAUAACUUAUGUUCAUUGGCAUUUUAUCUUGGUCUAAUUGUAAAUGAUAACUAGUAACUGCUUGUUCACUGUGAUAUUUGUUUUUAUGGCCUGCUUGUUAUUUUCACUGGAGAAAUUUUAAAAAGGGAGCAUUUGUUUAAAAAAAAUGCUUUUAGUGAGGGACUUUUUCAGCUUUUUUUUUUUCCCUUCAGAAGUUACUCUUUCUAGCUUAUAGGAAAGCACUAAUUGCCUCUUUCUUUUCAUUUUGGAAAGCACUAAUAGAUUCGGAUGUAUGCUUUAAUUUGUUUAAUCUAUGGAUAUAUCUGUACAAAACGCUGCCAAACAUGCAGAUGGUGGCUGAGUCUAUAAUCCUAUUCUACCCAAGCCUGCCUGCAAAAGGGGUUUUAACAAAUUAAAAGUACCGGUAGUGCUGCUGUUUAAUUUUCACUAUUGCAGGUUUUGAUUUGCGUCUGCUUUUCUCUUGUGUCAUACACUUUGGCAUAUUGAAAAAGAAACACAAAAGCAUAAAGCAAAACGAAAAUCAGGUU